GUCAUAUGCUUGUCUCAAAGAUUAAGCCAUGCAUGUCUCAGUACAAGCCAAAUUAAGGUGAAACCGCGAAAGGCUCAUUAAAUCAGUUAUGGUUCCUUAGAUCGUACCCACAAUUACUUGGAUAACUGUGGUAAUUCUAGAGCUAAUACAUGCAAACAGAGSUCCGACCGGAGACGGAAGGAGUGSUUUUAUUAGAUCAAAACCAAUCGGUGGCGGGUCCGCUCGUCAUCGUACAACUUGGUSACUCUGAAUAACUUUACGCUGAUCGCACGGUCAUCGCACCGGSGACGCAUCUUUCAAAUGUCUGCCUUAUCAACUGUCGAUGGUAGGUURUGCGCCUACCAUGGUSGUAACGGGUAACGGGGAAYCAGGGUUCGAUU
This 380-nucleotide ribosomal RNA is filed under the name Trigonopterus koveorum. RNAcentral describes it as "SSU rRNA". The record is from RNAcentral. Lineage: Eukaryota; Metazoa; Arthropoda; Insecta; Coleoptera; Curculionidae.